UUUCCGUAGGUGAACCUGCGGAAGGAUCAUUAACGAGUUAGGGUCCUCCGGGGCCCGACCUCCCACCCUUUGUUGUCGCGAAUUCGUUGCCUCGGCGGGACGGCCGCCGCGGGACCACACACAACUCUUGUCUUUGACCGUACAGUCCGAGCAAAUUUGAAUUAAUAAAUCAAAACUUUCAACAACGGAUCUCUUGGUUCUGGCAUCGAUGAAGAACGCAGC
RNAcentral lists this unclassified non-coding RNA (222 nucleotides) under uncultured fungus. RNAcentral's name for it is "sequence contains ITS1, 5.8S rRNA gene". The stretch from base 174 to 222 matches the Rfam family "5.8S ribosomal RNA", at positions 1 to 49 of the family's 154-position model. The record is from RNAcentral. Lineage: Eukaryota; Fungi.